GACGAACGCUGGCGGCGCGCUUAACACAUGCAAGUCGAGCGAGAACCAGUCCUUCGGGACUGGGGAAAGCGGCGAACGGGUGAGUAACACGUGGGUAAUCUGCCCUCGGCACUGGGAUAGCCCGGGGAAACCCGGAUUAAUACCGGAUAGCCUUUCGAGCCUUCGGGCUCGUCAGAAAAGGUGGCUUCGGCUUCCGGCUGAGGAUGGGCCCGCGGCGGAUUAGCUUGUUGGUGGGGUAAUGGCCUACAAAGGCGACGAUCCGUAGCUGGUCUGAGAGGACGAUCAGCCACACGGGGACUAAGACGCGGCCCAGACUCCUACGGGAGGCAGCAGUGGGGAAUCUUGCGCAAUGGGCGAAAGCCUGACGCAGCGACGCCGCGUGCGGGAAGAAGGCCUUCGGGUUGUAAACCGCUUUCAGGAGGGACGAAGCCACUCGGGUUAAUAGCCCAGAGGGUGACGGUACCUCCAGAAGAAGCCCCGGCUAACUACGUGCCAGCAGCCGCCGUAA
Molecule: ribosomal RNA, 508 nt
Filed under: uncultured bacterium
Lineage: Bacteria
Description: partial 16S ribosomal RNA
Rfam family: Bacterial small subunit ribosomal RNA
Source: RNAcentral